GUUAGCUUGGUGUAGAAACAAUACACAUUGGACUUUCAAGCCAAAGUGACUGAUCAAAAGUAGCUAACC
RNAcentral lists this transfer RNA (69 nucleotides) under Sinohyriopsis cumingii. RNAcentral's name for it is "Hyriopsis cumingii tRNA-Glu". The record is from RNAcentral. Lineage: Eukaryota; Metazoa; Mollusca; Bivalvia; Unionida; Unionidae.